AAUUGUCAACACCACAAAUUACAAAAAGUAGUCGGGAGUCUUGCGUGUUGUGUCUGGUUCAAUUUGCCGAGGAGCUGGAUCAAAUUGGAGGAAGUUCUGAUCCAUGUUUUCGCCAAUCUCAAGAAUUGCAGCCAUGUUACCACAGCGAUAACAGUAGUUUGGUGCACUGAAGACCGUCACAACAUUCUCUACCUGACACCAAUUAAAUCCUUCCAUUACAAGUUGAUGUGCCCUUGAGAUGAGAGAUAGACCAUUUGUAUGGUUAAACUGUUGAGCGAUAUCUUGCCCAAAUGUAUAACCUGCUCCUCUCGGUGAAAUUCCCCACCCGCAUCUGUCAUCUGGGUCAGACCACAAAAGAUCACACAUGGGUCCUUCAUGAGGAACCUGCAAGCAUUUAGUGAAAUUUGCAUAUAUUGGAUAAGCCUAUAUCAGUUAAACCGCAAUUAGUCAAGUAACAAACCUGGUUUUCUAUAAGAGCUGUGAGAGGCAAAUAAUCAAACAAGUCUGUAAAGUAUUUCCAUACAUUUGCAUUUCCAUACUUUCUCAAGCAUUCAUCGUAGA
RNAcentral lists this small RNA (561 nucleotides) under Oryza sativa Japonica Group (Japanese rice). RNAcentral's name for it is "sRNA Os02g0217666". The record is from RNAcentral. Lineage: Eukaryota; Viridiplantae; Streptophyta; Magnoliopsida; Poales; Poaceae.